GUCAGGAUGGCCGAGCGGUCUAAGGCGCUGCAAUCAGGCUCCGGUUUUGGCGUGGGUUCGAAUCCCACUUCUGAUCA
Molecule: non-coding RNA, 77 nt
Organism: Trichonephila clavipes
Lineage: Eukaryota; Metazoa; Arthropoda; Arachnida; Araneae; Nephilidae
Source: the annotation of a GenBank genome assembly